Camelus dromedarius (Arabian camel) is the source of this 1221-nucleotide long non-coding RNA. RefSeq lists it as uncharacterized. The transcript has 4 exons. Lineage: Eukaryota; Metazoa; Chordata; Mammalia; Artiodactyla; Camelidae. The record is from RefSeq and is a predicted model, not a curated record.
GCGACCCCCGGACAGGCCCCGGGCCGGGGCGCGCGCGCCGCCCGCGGUCAACCGGCCAGUCCCUCCGUCCCGCAGAGCUUCCUCACGCGGCCGCGGACACAGUCCGGCGUCCACGGCCGCCCCCGUCACGCACGGCAGCCUCGCGCCUGCCCGGCCGUCAGUUGCACACGCACAGGCGGCUGCUCAGCCCACUGUCCCGCACAGGCCUGGCCGCAGCAGUUUCCUCAAGCCCGCUCCUCGAGCGCCGCCCGCACAGCGACCGCGAGGAGAGUGCAACCUGUCUGACAGAUGUUGAGCCAGGCAGAGCAGGACAAUGUUCUGCAGUUCAGAGCUGAGAGGCCCAGCAGAGCACCCAGCUGAUGCUAGAGAGAUCCAGGCUUCCAGGAAUGUGCUUGCUGCUACCACCCAGGAUGUCCUUCACAACUAGUCUUGACCAGCAUCUAGUUGCUCUGCACCUGCCCUCAGAAGAAAAAAGUUUCUUGCUGGGAAAGGGACCCUAGCCAGCUUGGAUGCUAGAGCCCUGGAAAGUGGUCACAAACCACUCCUCGUCUCAGGCAACACAAGAAGACUGCAUUCCAUCUGCGAGAGAGCUUCUGGGAUCCAGUGUUCUAGUUGGCUUAGCACCCUUAAUUCCUGCCAUCCUGACUGAAAGCUGAGCCACAUAAGCAAACCCAAAGAAGUUCCCCACUGCUUCUGGCCAGCACACAUGAAGUGUGUUCCAGGACCUGUCACUCAAAUACACUUGCUCAAUCUUGCUCAAUAAACCCACCCUAGGCUCCAAAUAUACUUCUCGCACCCCACCUGUUCUUGUAGGUUUUCUGUACCCGCCCUCACUUCCUGGGCCUGCCUUUAUCUAAAGAUGUGGACUUUGGCUUACUCCCUCUUUGACCCAAACCCACGUCAGCACAACAGAUGCAGCCCCUUCAAGGCCUGGUCCCAGCUCCUGGGGAGGGAGGCACCCUUGCUGACAGGAGCAGACAGACCACAUCCCUCACCAAGUCCCAGCCCCAAAGCCUCACUCUGGCCUGGGGCCCUGGGUUACGAAGAGGCAGACGCGAAGUUUCCGUUAAGUUGUAGGAAUUUAUUUUAAAUAACCUACAGUUGAUUAAAAGGGAAUUCAUGAUAAAAAUAGAAGAUACUUGAGGAAAGAUGUGGGAAAUGGACUCUGCACACACGCUAAACUAACAAUGCCUCUAAAACUAAUGAUUAUAGCAAAAAAUG